RNAcentral lists this ribosomal RNA (453 nucleotides) under uncultured bacterium. RNAcentral describes it as "bacterial SSU rRNA". It matches the Rfam family "Bacterial small subunit ribosomal RNA", at positions 335 to 798 of the family's 1533-position model. The record is from RNAcentral.
ACUCCUACGGGAGGCAGCAGUGGGGAAUAUUGCACAAUGGGCGGAAGCCUGAUGCAGCAACGCCGCGUGCGGGAUGACGGCCUUCGGGUUGUAAACCGCUUUCGCCUGUGACGAAGCGUGAGUGACGGUAAUGGGUAAAGAAGCACCGGCUAACUACGUGCCAGCAGCCGCGGUGAUACGUAGGGUGCGAGCGUUGUCCGGAUUUAUUGGGCGUAAAGGGCUCGUAGGUGGUUGAUCGCGUCGGAAGUGUAAUCUUGGGGCUUAACCCUGAGCGUGCUUUCGAUACGGGUUGACUUGAGGAAGGUAGGGGAGAAUGGAAUUCCUGGUGGAGCGGUGGAAUGCGCAGAUAUCAGGAGGAACACCAGUGGCGAAGGCGGUUCUCUGGGCCUUUCCUGACGCUGAGGAGCGAAAGCGUGGGGAGCGAACAGGCUUAGAUACCCUGGUAGCGUCGUC